This 77-nucleotide transfer RNA is filed under the name Ruminococcus flavefaciens. RNAcentral's name for it is "tRNA_Pro_TGG". It matches the Rfam family "tRNA". Rfam says of the family: Transfer RNA (tRNA) molecules are approximately 80 nucleotides in length. Their secondary structure includes four short double-helical elements and three loops (D, anti-codon, and T loops). The record is from RNAcentral. Lineage: Bacteria; Bacillati; Bacillota; Clostridia; Eubacteriales; Oscillospiraceae. RNAcentral also lists the same sequence under 2 other names.
CGAGGCGUAACUCAGUUUGGUAGAGUGCUUGCUUUGGGAGCAAGAUGCCGCAGGUUCGAGUCCUGUCGCCUCGACCA